RNAcentral lists this transfer RNA (83 nucleotides) under Oceanibaculum indicum P24. RNAcentral describes it as "tRNA-Lys". The stretch from base 19 to 80 matches the Rfam family "tRNA". From Rfam's summary of the family: Transfer RNA (tRNA) molecules are approximately 80 nucleotides in length. Their secondary structure includes four short double-helical elements and three loops (D, anti-codon, and T loops). Lineage: Bacteria; Pseudomonadati; Pseudomonadota; Alphaproteobacteria; Rhodospirillales; Oceanibaculaceae. The record is from RNAcentral.
GGGGGCUUUACGGAUUACGGGAACACAGGGACUUCUGACUCUUAAUCAGCGGGUCCAAGGUUCGAGUCCUUGUGCGCCCACCA